Molecule: ribosomal RNA, 468 nt
Filed under: uncultured bacterium
Lineage: Bacteria
Description: partial 16S ribosomal RNA
Rfam family: Bacterial small subunit ribosomal RNA
Source: RNAcentral
GAUGAACGCUGGCGGCGUGCUUAACACAUGCAAGUCGAACGGAAAGGCCCUGCUUGCGUGGGGUGCUCGCGGGGCGAACGUGAGUGUAACACGGGAGUAUGCUUCCCUGGAGGGUGGGAUAACUUGAGGAGGGUGCUGAUAAUACCUGAGAGCUGCUCCUGCAGCAUGGGGGGGGUCGGACAUUUUAGGCGGUUGGGGAUGGUCGCUCGGCUUAUCAGUUUGUUGGUUGGGGAGUGGCUUAGCAGGGGAUUGAUGGGUAGCCUGCCUGAGAGGGUGAUCGGACACAUGGGGACUGAGAUACGGCCCAGAGUCGAAUGGUAGGCAACGGUGGGGAAUAUUACACAGCGGGCGGAAGCGUGAUGCAGAGACGCCGCGUGUGGGAAGACGGCCUUCGGGUUGUAAACCGCUUUCGCCUGAGACGAAGCGUGAGUGACGGUAAUGGGUAAAGAAGCACCGGCUAACUACGUG